Molecule: ribosomal RNA, 2652 nt
Filed under: Klebsiella pneumoniae
Lineage: Bacteria; Pseudomonadati; Pseudomonadota; Gammaproteobacteria; Enterobacterales; Enterobacteriaceae
Description: bacterial LSU rRNA
Rfam family: Bacterial large subunit ribosomal RNA
Source: RNAcentral
UUAAGCGACUAAGCGUACACGGUGGAUGCCCUGGCAGUCAGAGGCGAUGAAGGACGUGCUAAUCUGCGAAAAGCGUCGGUAAGGUGAUAUGAACCGUUAUAACCGGCGAUGUCCGAAUGGGGAAACCCAGUGCAAUUCGUUGCACUAUCGUUAACUGAAUACAUAGGUUAACGAGGCGAACCGGGGGAACUGAAACAUCUAAGUACCCCGAGGAAAAGAAAUCAACCGAGAUUCCCCCAGUAGCGGCGAGCGAACGGGGAGCAGCCCAGAGUCUGAAUCAGCUUGUGUGUUAGUGGAACGGUCUGGAAAGUCCGACGGUACAGGGUGAUAGUCCCGUACACCAAAAUGCACAGGCUGUGAACUCGAAGAGUAGGGCGGGACACGUGGUAUCCUGUCUGAAUAUGGGGGGACCAUCCUCCAAGGCUAAAUACUCCUGACUGACCGAUAGUGAACCAGUACCGUGAGGGAAAGGCGAAAAGAACCCCGGCGAGGGGAGUGAAAAAGAACCUGAAACCGUGUACGUACAAGCAGUGGGAGCACCUUCGGGUGUGACUGCGUACCUUUUGUAUAAUGGGUCAGCGACUUAUAUUCUGUAGCAAGGUUAACCGUAUAGGGGAGCCGCAGGGAAACCGAGUCUUAACUGGGCGUUAAGUUGCAGGGUAUAGACCCGAAACCCGGUGAUCUAGCCAUGGGCAGGUUGAAGGUUGGGUAACACUAACUGGAGGACCGAACCGACUAAUGUUGAAAAAUUAGCGGAUGACUUGUGGCUGGGGGUGAAAGGCCAAUCAAACCGGGAGAUAGCUGGUUCUCCCCGAAAGCUAUUUAGGUAGCGCCUCGUGAACUCAUCUUCGGGGGUAGAGCACUGUUUCGGCUAGGGGGUCAUCCCGACUUACCAACCCGAUGCAAACUACGAAUACCGAAGAAUGUUAUCACGGGAGACACACGGCGGGUGCUAACGUCCGUCGUGAAGAGGGAAACAACCCAGACCGCCAGCUAAGGUCCCAAAGUCAUGGUUAAGUGGGAAACGAUGUGGGAAGGCACAGACAGCCAGGAUGUUGGCUUAGAAGCAGCCAUCAUUUAAAGAAAGCGUAAUAGCUCACUGGUCGAGUCGGCCUGCGCGGAAGAUGUAACGGGGCUAAACCAUGCACCGAAGCUGCGGCAGCGACACUAUGUGUUGUUGGGUAGGGGAGCGUUCUGUAAGCCUGCGAAGGUGUGCUGUGAGGCAUGCUGGAGGUAUCAGAAGUGCGAAUGCUGACAUAAGUAACGAUAAAGCGGGUGAAAAGCCCGCUCGCCGGAAGACCAAGGGUUCCUGUCCAACGUUAAUCGGGGCAGGGUGAGUCGACCCCUAAGGCGAGGCCGAAAGGCGUAGUCGAUGGGAAACAGGUUAAUAUUCCUGUACUUGGUGUUACUGCGAAGGGGGGACGGAGAAGGCUAUGUUAGCCGGGCGACGGUUGUCCCGGUUUAAGCAUGUAGGCUGGUUAUCCAGGCAAAUCCGGAUAAUCAAGGCUGAGGUGUGAUGACGAGGCACUACGGUGCUGAAGUAACAAAUGCCCUGCUUCCAGGAAAAGCCUCUAAGCAUCAGGUAACAUCAAAUCGUACCCCAAACCGACACAGGUGGUCAGGUAGAGAAUACCAAGGCGCUUGAGAGAACUCGGGUGAAGGAACUAGGCAAAAUGGUGCCGUAACUUCGGGAGAAGGCACGCUGGUGUGUAGGUGAAGUCCCUGCGGAUGGAGCUGAGACCAGUCGAAGAUACCAGCUGGCUGCAACUGUUUAUUAAAAACACAGCACUGUGCAAACACGAAAGUGGACGUAUACGGUGUGACGCCUGCCCGGUGCCGGAAGGUUAAUUGAUGGGGUUAUCCGUAAGGAGAAGCUCUUGAUCGAAGCCCCGGUAAACGGCGGCCGUAACUAUAACGGUCCUAAGGUAGCGAAAUUCCUUGUCGGGUAAGUUCCGACCUGCACGAAUGGCGUAAUGAUGGCCAGGCUGUCUCCACCCGAGACUCAGUGAAAUUGAACUCGCUGUGAAGAUGCAGUGUACCCGCGGCAAGACGGAAAGACCCCGUGAACCUUUACUAUAGCUUGACACUGAACAUUGAGCCUUGAUGUGUAGGAUAGGUGGGAGGCUUUGAAGCGUGGACGCCAGUCUGCGUGGAGCCAACCUUGAAAUACCACCCUUUAAUGUUUGAUGUUCUAACGUUGGCCCCUGACCGGGGUUGCGGACAGUGUCUGGUGGGUAGUUUGACUGGGGCGGUCUCCUCCCAAAGCGUAACGGAGGAGCACGAAGGUUAGCUAAUCCUGGUCGGACAUCAGGAGGUUAGUGCAAUGGCAUAAGCUAGCUUGACUGCGAGCGUGACGGCGCGAGCAGGUGCGAAAGCAGGUCAUAGUGAUCCGGUGGUUCUGAAUGGAAGGGCCAUCGCUCAACGGAUAAAAGGUACUCCGGGGAUAACAGGCUGAUACCGCCCAAGAGUUCAUAUCGACGGCGGUGUUUGGCACCUCGAUGUCGGCUCAUCACAUCCUGGGGCUGAAGUAGGUCCCAAGGGUAUGGCUGUUCGCCAUUUAAAGUGGUACGCGAGCUGGGUUUAGAACGUCGUGAGACAGUUCGGUCCCUAUCUGCCGUGGGCGCUGGAGAAUUGAGGGGGGCUGCUCCUAGU